Molecule: ribosomal RNA, 253 nt
Filed under: uncultured bacterium
Lineage: Bacteria
Description: partial 16S ribosomal RNA
Rfam family: Bacterial small subunit ribosomal RNA
Source: RNAcentral
AACGUAGGAGGCAAGCGUUAUCCGGAUUUACUGGGCGUAAAGGGCGCGUAGGCGGAUAUUUAAGUCAGGGGUGAAAGCCCGGGGCUCAACCCCGGAACAGCCUUUGAUACUGGAUAUCUUGAGUUCGGGAGAGGUGAGUGGAAUGCCGAGUGUAGAGGUGAAAUUCGUAGAUAUUCGGCGGAACACCAGUGGCGAAGGCGACUCACUGGCCCGAUACUGACGCUGAGGCGCGAAAGCGUGGGGAGCAAACAGG